This 396-nucleotide ribosomal RNA is filed under the name uncultured bacterium. Its description in RNAcentral is "bacterial SSU rRNA". It matches the Rfam family "Bacterial small subunit ribosomal RNA", at positions 29 to 430 of the family's 1533-position model. The record is from RNAcentral.
AUUGAACGCUGGCGGCAUGCCUUACACAUGCAAGUCGAACGGCAGCACGGGGGCAACCCUGGUGGCGAGUGGCGAACGGGUGAGUAAUGCAUCGGAACGUGCCCCGUAGCGGGGGAUAACCAGUCGAAAGACUGGCUAAUACCGCAUACGCUCCACGGAGGAAAGCAGGGGAUCGCAAGACCUUGCACUAUGGGAGCGGCCGAUGCCCAAUUAGCUAGUUGGUGAGGUAAAGGCUCACCAAGGCGACGAUCGGUAGCUGGUUUGAGAGAACGACCAGCCACACUGGGACUGAGACACGGCCCAGACUCCUACGGGAGGCAGCAGUGGGGAAUUUUGGACAAUGGGCGCAAGCCUGAUCCAGCCAUGCCGCGUGCGGGAUGAAGGCCUGGUGUAACG